RNAcentral lists this transfer RNA (73 nucleotides) under Ailuropoda melanoleuca (giant panda). It matches the Rfam family "tRNA". From Rfam's summary of the family: Transfer RNA (tRNA) molecules are approximately 80 nucleotides in length. Lineage: Eukaryota; Metazoa; Chordata; Mammalia; Carnivora; Ursidae. The record is from Rfam by way of RNAcentral.
ACCUGGCUGGUUCAGUCGGAAGAGUGCGUGACUCUUGGUCUUGGGGUUGUGAGUUCGAGCCCCAUGCUGGGUG